AUCUAGCUGAUGAGUUCCAAAUAGGAUGUAACAUGCUUCUUAGAU
Molecule: non-coding RNA, 45 nt
Organism: Schistosoma mattheei
Lineage: Eukaryota; Metazoa; Platyhelminthes; Trematoda; Strigeidida; Schistosomatidae
Source: Rfam